AUUGAACGCUGGCGGCAGGCCUAACACAUGCAAGUCGAACGAGUGGCGGACGGGUGAGUAAUGUCUGGGAAACUGCCUGAUGGCGGGGGAUAACUACUGGAAACGGUAGCUAAUACCGCAUACCAUCGGAUGUGCCCAGAUGGGCUUAGCUAGUAGGUGGGGUAAAGGCUCACCUAGGCGACGAUCCCUAGCUGGUGUGAGAGGAUGACCAGCCACACUGGAACGGAGACACGGUCCAGACUCCUACGGGAGGCAGCAGUGGGGAAUAUUGGACAAUGGGCGCAAGCCUGAUGCAGCCAUGCCGCGUGUAUGAAGAAGGCCUUCGGGUUGUAAAGUACUUUCAGCGGGGAGGCGUUACCCGCAGAAGAAGCACCGGCUAACUCCGUGCCAGCAGCCGCGGUAAUAC
Molecule: ribosomal RNA, 406 nt
Filed under: uncultured bacterium
Lineage: Bacteria
Description: partial 16S ribosomal RNA
Rfam family: Bacterial small subunit ribosomal RNA
Source: RNAcentral